RNAcentral lists this ribosomal RNA (468 nucleotides) under uncultured bacterium. Its description in RNAcentral is "partial 16S ribosomal RNA". It matches the Rfam family "Bacterial small subunit ribosomal RNA", at positions 28 to 507 of the family's 1533-position model. The record is from RNAcentral.
GACGAACGCUGGCGGCGUGCUUAACACAUGCAAGUCGAACGGAAACGCCCUGCUUUCGUGGGGUGCCCGAGUGGCGAACGGGUGAGUAACACGAGAGCAACGUGCUCUUCAUUUUGGGAUAACUUCACGAAAGUGGGGUUAAUACCGGACAGGAGCCCCCGCUCCGUGGUGGGGGUUGGAAAGUUUCAGCGGUCGGGGAUGGACGCGCGGCUUAUGAGCUUGCUGGUGGGGUAGUGGCAGACCAAGGCAUUGACGGGUAGCCGGCCGGGGAGGGUGGACGGCCACCUUGGGACUGCGAUACGGCCCAGACUCCUACGGGGGGCAGCGGUGGGGAAUAUUGCCCAAUGGGCGGGAGCCUGAGGCAGCAGCGCCGCGUGCGGAAUGACGGCCUUCGGGUUGUAAACCGCUUUCGCCUGUGACGAAGCGUGAGUGACGGUAAUGGGUAAAGAAGCACCGGCUAACUACGUG